GCCCGACACAGAGCCGGCUCCUGCUCCAAUUGAAGUCAGCGCAAGCGCCUGUUGAUUGACUUCUGUCGCGCAGGACCGGACGGGAGGAGCACAGAAGAGACGAGGCUGUACGGGAUAGUUCUGCACCGGUCCCCAGCGGAGGCACCAGGAGGAGUUUGUUCAGAUGCAUUGAGCACUGAGCCCCCAGUGGUUCACAAUAGCCUGGACAGCAGUGGCAACCUUCUGACCUCUGAAUCUUGUACGCCACCAGAAGGAAGCCAGCAGCUGCCAGAUCAGGCUAGUGAAGUGACUCUGCUGCUCACACCAGUCCCCAAGGAGCCUUUGCUGCCAGAGCAGCUGCAGCAUGUCCUCACUCAGAGGAGCCAUUCGAUGACCCCCUGGAGGAGCAGCCUGCUGUGGAAGUAGAAGCAGAAGAGGCAAAAAUAACUCCAAUGCCUGGCCCUUCCACCUCUGCAGCUUAACCACACUCCAGCAGAAGCUUGAGAUUUCUAACGGUCAAAGAGAAAACAUUUCUGCGAUGAACUUAAGGUGGACAUCCUGGACAGGGCCAACAAGCAGGUACAGUACAAAAAGGGAAAAGAAUUCAUGGCAAGUGGAAAGGCACAGACGGGCUACAGAGUGCAAGGAGAGAACUGAAGCAGGUCAGUGGAGACUUGCAGCACAGUUUCGGGAGCAGGAACAUUGCUUGAGGGAGGAAGACAGAGUCUGGCGGAAAGACCUGUUUGAGAGGCUGCGAGGGCUAAUGGCCACAAGAGUUCAGGCUUCUGCUCCACCUGUACCACAUCCUGAGCCCUCUCCAUGGUACCAUGUCAUGCAGACUAGGAACACAUUGGACAAUACAAAAGUUGGGUGGCCCAUGCAACCAAGACUGAACACUAGUAGCUGGACAGGUCAUAUAUACCCCCAGCAGUCCUCCACCCCCAGGCAUCGUCACCAAGUUUGCACUAAAUGUGCUAGAAAGGGAGGCCCAGGGACAUGCACAAGUAGAGAAUUUAUUUGUUUGUACUGGCUUCACUGUUCAAUGUUUGUCUUAUGCACUUUAUUUUAUUAUGGAUUUUGGUGUUGGUUUAUUACUGGUGAUUGGGGGUUCUAAUGGCAGCUGGCCUGGCUGACAAUGCUUUAAUAUUGUUUGGUUGGGUUUUUUUGUAAUAGACAUGUUCACAAAUAAAAACUUUUAUAAUAAA
Dermochelys coriacea (leatherback sea turtle) is the source of this 1184-nucleotide long non-coding RNA. RefSeq lists it as uncharacterized. The record is from RefSeq and is a predicted model, not a curated record. Lineage: Eukaryota; Metazoa; Chordata; Testudines; Dermochelyidae. The transcript is spliced from 3 exons.